GAUGAACGCUGGCGGCGUGCCUAAUACAUGCAAGUCGAGCGAACGGACGAGAAGCUUGCUUCUCUGAUGUUAGCGGCGGACGGGUGAGUAACACGUGGAUAACCUACCUAUAAGACUGGGAUAACUUCGGGAAACCGGAGCUAAUACCGGAUAAUAUUUUGAACCGCAUGGUUCAAAAGUAAAAGACGGUCUUGCUGUCACUUAUAGAUGGAUCCGCGCUGCAUUAGCUAGUUGGUAAGGUAACGGCUUACCAAGGCAACGAUGCAUAGCCGACCUGAGAGGGUGAUCGGCCAAAAUGGAACUGAGACACGGUCCAGACUCCUACGGGAGGCAGCAGUAGGGAAUCUUCCGCAAAGGGCGAAAGCCUGACGGAGCAACGCCGCGUGAGUGAUGAAGGUCUUCGGAUCGUAAAACUCUGUUAUUAGGGAAGAACAUAUGUGUAAGUAACUGUGCACAUCUUGACGGUACCUAAUCAGAAAGCCACGGCUAACUACGUG
Molecule: ribosomal RNA, 497 nt
Filed under: uncultured bacterium
Lineage: Bacteria
Description: partial 16S ribosomal RNA
Rfam family: Bacterial small subunit ribosomal RNA
Source: RNAcentral